UGUCGGCUCUUCCUAUCAUUGU
Molecule: small nuclear RNA, 22 nt
Filed under: Arabidopsis thaliana (thale cress)
Lineage: Eukaryota; Viridiplantae; Streptophyta; Magnoliopsida; Brassicales; Brassicaceae
Description: snRNA_02305
Source: RNAcentral